Molecule: long non-coding RNA, 676 nt
Filed under: Brassica rapa (field mustard)
Lineage: Eukaryota; Viridiplantae; Streptophyta; Magnoliopsida; Brassicales; Brassicaceae
Description: long non-coding RNA (BRAP_LNC004625)
Source: RNAcentral
GCCUAACGAAUUUCAGAACAUUGCUUCUUCUAAUUCAUUGAAACCCAUUCACUCAUUGAUUUACUUUUGUUAGCAUUCACCCAAAUGAAACACAUCAACUAUUCCGUUUAAUACUCUGGCUUGUAAUGGAUAUCUACUCUACUUGUCUUUUUACAUAAACAUAAAGAAAAGCUGAUAAUGGGACAAUAAUAGAUCGGGGAUAAGUCGAAUGACUCAAAUACACGAAUUAGGAUGAGGACGCAUGUGCACGUUAGCAUUUUCCUUGAUAAGAUUCAUCUUCCAUACAAUGCAUCUGCUACAUAAUGAGCCGUAAUCUGUACAUGUUCGGUAUACAUCGAUCCGGUUCAGCUUGGUUUCCAUUGGGGAUCUUUUUUAGUCUACAACUUUACCCUUUGUUUGGCCACAGAUACAGGAAGACUAUUUGUUCUAAUAUAUGAUAUAUUUAUUUAUAGAAGACAUAACAUUUAGAUAAUAGGGGAUGUUAAGAGUGUAUGUGUACCUCAACAGAAAAAUUGUAAACUCACAAGCAUGAUCACUGCCACAAUUUGCAUAUGGGAGAAGGACCAUUCUCUUAUUUGUAAUGUCGUUGCUUAACAUGCGAGCUUAUACAUAUGCUUUCAAUUAUUGAACGAGAGAGAUGAUGCAAGACGUCAACAAUAUGAGCCAUCUGUGUUAG